UUUUUUUGUCUUUGUUCAUCUUUCUCUUUUCAAGUUUGAAAAUCUUGGCUAUGAAAAUUCCAUUCAGUAAUAGUGGUACUGAAAUGGUACUGUGUCAUAUCGAAACCGAUCGGCUCCGGUAUGAUUCGGUAUCAAAAAACUAAAACACUAAUUCUAUACCAUACCGUACCGUGUUGUUUGAAAAUUCCGAUAUCAAAAGCAGG
Molecule: long non-coding RNA, 203 nt
Filed under: Prunus dulcis (almond)
Lineage: Eukaryota; Viridiplantae; Streptophyta; Magnoliopsida; Rosales; Rosaceae
Description: sRNA ncRNA
Source: RNAcentral